This 373-nucleotide unclassified non-coding RNA is filed under the name soil metagenome. Its description in RNAcentral is "partial contains 5.8S ribosomal RNA, internal transcribed spacer 2, and large subunit ribosomal RNA". The stretch from base 1 to 121 matches the Rfam family "5.8S ribosomal RNA", at positions 35 to 154 of the family's 154-position model. The record is from RNAcentral.
GAUGAAGAACGCAGCGAAAUGCGAUAAGUAAUGCGAAUUGCAGAAUUCCAGUGAGUCAUCGAAUCUUUGAACGCACAUUGCGCCCUUUGGUAUUCCGAAGGGCAUGCCUGUUCGAGCGUCAUUAUCACCCCUCACGCCCUCGGCUUGGUGUUGGACGGUUUGGUGGAGGCCCCCUCGGGGGCUCCUGCCCCUCCCAAAGACAAUGACGGCGGCCUCGUUGGACCCCCGGUACACUGAGUUCUUCACGGGACACGUAUCGGACACAUGGGUUUACGGGACACGGUCUGCCUCCCCUCAGGGAGAAUCUUUCUAAGGUUGACCUCGGAUCAGGUAGGGAUACCCGCUGAACUUAAGCAUAUCAAUAAGCGGAGGA